ACAGCGAUAGCUCAGCAGCACAGCACCUGCUUCGCGUGCAGAAGGUCCCAGGUUUAAUCCCUGGCCGCUGGG
This is a non-coding RNA of Podarcis lilfordi (Lilford's wall lizard), 72 nucleotides long. The record is from the annotation of a GenBank genome assembly. Lineage: Eukaryota; Metazoa; Chordata; Lepidosauria; Squamata; Lacertidae.